AACGUAAAGAACCUGCCUCAUAGACGGGGACAACUAUUGGAAACGAUAGCUAAUACCGGAUAACAACAUAAAUCGCAUGAUAUAUGUUUAAAAGUUGGUUUCGGCUAACACUAUGAGAUGGCUUUGCGGUGCAUUAGCUAGUUGGUGGGGUAAAGGCCUACCAAGGCGACGAUGCAUAGCCGACCUGAGAGGGUGAUCGGCCACACUGGGACUGAGACACGGCCCAG
This 227-nucleotide ribosomal RNA is filed under the name uncultured bacterium. RNAcentral describes it as "partial 16S ribosomal RNA". It matches the Rfam family "Bacterial small subunit ribosomal RNA", at positions 114 to 334 of the family's 1533-position model. The record is from RNAcentral.